UGCCAGAGAGUUUUAAAAGUUGACUUUUUUGCGCGGCGCGCCUCAGAGACUACGGUGUACUGGUUUUAGAUGGUUAGCGUUCGCUGUGGCGGUAACGAGUGCGUCCUCAACGUUUUUUCGGUUCUAUUUCAACUAAUUAUAUAUUUAAUAUUAUGUAUUGACUAUCAAAACGUUUGUUUUAUUUCAUAAGAAUUGUGAAGUUUUUAUCAACAGCAAUAAAUAUACAUAUGUAUACAUAUGUAUUUGUUCGUACGCAAAAAAUAACGUAUUCUAUGCGUUCGACUGUCAAUCGCUUCCUGUUGGAUUUGCGAAUUAGAAGUUGAGUUCAAAUGAAAGCGUACAGAAAUCACGAAUUGUUAUACAACGAUAUUUUAAAAUUAUUCUCAGAGAAAUGUGUGUGACAGAGAAAUAAUAAAAUAGUGUUUGUUGUGCAAAGUAUUAAGUACGAAUGAAUCGAAGGCUGAAGUGCAAUACGAAGGGAAAAGAAAACAAAAGAAAAUAUAAUACAUUUGAAUUAAAUAUUUGUUUCGAAUAUUAAGUGCAAUAAAUAACGCAAUCGUUUUCAAAUAAAUAAAAAUUUUUACUGAAAAUGCUUUAUGGCUAGAGUGUGUAGCACAUUUUUUAAGCUGUUGCUGACCGCUUUGCUCUUGUGUCCCGAAUUGCUGCCGUUGCUUGCUUUUAUUGCUGCACAGUGUUCUGAAUAUGAUAAAAUUUCAAUAAAAUAUCAAAGUAAAUAUGUCAUAAAUCUAUAUUAAAUCGUCGAGAAUUAAUUUCAUUUAAAACAUAAAAAGUUUAACAGAGUGUGCCAAAGAAACUAAAAGCUGAAAGGAAUUUUGAGAAAUUUAAGAAUAUUAAUUAUAGCGAACUACAGACAAUAAAAAUAAGAAUUAAUUAUCUCAAAAUCCUUCGUCCCUAUAUUUGACUUCAUCUUCCGUUUUAACUAGAAGCAAAUAAUGUGACCUUCAAGACUCGUUUACACAAAUUUGUGUUUUCAUUUGAGUUUUAGCCAGGAAAUAUUAAAUAACAAAAUCUUUCGGAUUUAAUAUUAUAAGAAUCAUGAAUGUGUCUAUUUUGUGAAUCAAAACUAAAAUUGACUCAAAUCACGAUUGAACAAACAAAUAAUUAUAAAAGCAAUGCUUUGAUAUCUAGAAAAUAAAAAUGUUAAAUGAAAUAUGUAAAACUUCGAAAUAGAUUGAUAUUUAUUGAAAUUACUUCUGACUUUAGUUUUAAGUGAUUUUCGUAGUAAAAACACUUAUACGCAUAAAAAAGAGUAAAAAUUUGCUGACACUCAUUUUAUUUCGAUUGUUCUAUUGUAACUGUGUUGUUGUUGUCUUUAGAGUUGUUGUGUCUGGUUAUGUGCUUGAGGUUGCAUGUUUUGUGCUUCGAUGGUCAAUUUCCCUACAGCAUAAUAAAUUAGCUCAUUUUCGUCAAGAGUUACAUUCCGCAAGAAUAUAUUUCCUAACUAGUGAUAUUGGAACUAGGGCUAAAUGAAUGCUACUGUGUCAAUGAAUUACAUAAAUAAUUAAAUUAUUUUAUUAUUGCCAAAGCAGCUCAUUUGUUGCCUACAAUACACGACCGCUGCAAUUUUAGACCAUUUCAAAAUGGUCACCAAUAUUAUAUUUCAUUAAAGUUAAUGUAGUCGGCAUUAAUUGCUUAAGGUAAAGCAGUUGAAAGUUUUUUACGUGGUGUUUAAAAACGUUCAUCAAAUCUCAACUUUCAUUAGAUUUUUAUAAUAUUAUACUUUAUACUGAAUACCGAACAGAAACUGCAGGUUUUACUUUGGAACUUAAUUAAGGAUUAGAUUAGAGAGCUUUCUUGAUCAUCAUUCAUGUUAGAAGUUUAACGUUAAACACCGCUGUUAUAAAAAUUAAAUUUUGGUUUGCAGCGCGACCUGACUAUAUCUAUCAUGAUGCUGACUUGCAAGCGAAAAAUUAAAGCCGCGAUCACACAAUUCUCCUUCCCCUCGGAAACUCGUAGAUUUCUCAGUUAUGCUCGAGUUUAGUGAUUUAGCAAUCGUAUUAGAAGCAAUUCAUCAAUCUUGAGGUCUAGGAGAAAUUACUGGUGAACUCAAUUGAGCACAUGAUCAAAUGGAAAAAUCAAAAGUACAUAAAUUUCUAUGUAGCACAAGUAUAUAUGUAUAAGUAUUUGCCUAACUAAGAUGUAUAUGGACCAAUCUCACUAUCUAUUCGGAGUCGAGUGCGAUGUAGUAAGUUCAACGUUAUUAUCAGUAGAUUAAACAUUGCAAAUUAUGUUGAUUCAAAGUCAUUGUCGCAGAACAAAAACGUUUAAGUAUUAAGCAAACAUUAACUACAAUGAGCGAAACUAAAAAGAAUAAAACUUGAGUAGAAAAAGCAAAAAUAUAAAAAUACUAAGCGAAGUCUAGGGAGCAAAUAAGCCAACGAACAGCUGAGAAAUGUGAAAAGCUGAUGAUAAAAUAAAAAUAAACAAAAGCCCGCCAACUAAGUGUAAGAUAUGGUAAAUGACGGCGCAAAGCACAUCAUGUCAGCGUUGGUUGCGCAGAUUCUAAAACACACACAUGCGCGCGCACGUGUUAGUAUGCUAAUACACUAUCUGCGUCAUCCCAAAAGUGGAGUUACCGCAGCUAGUGAUAGUGUGAUAACCACUGACGACUUGAUAUCUGUAAUCAAGUUAAACGUGUGUAAACGCAUUAAAAGCAUACAAAUAUUGAGCUUGGCAAACAAACUGCUGCUGUGACUCGCUUAUCGCCACCGAUAUUGCAAGUUGUGUGUGUGCAAAUAAAACUCGUAGUCACACGGCAAUGACUCGCAACAGUUAGCGAAAUACUCACAAAGUGAAAAAAGCAAGUGGUAACCAAGAGUCAUUCAAUCAAGCUGACUUACAACCACAUGUGCAAAUUUUAAAUUGUAGGGGCUUUCAGGAGCCAAGUAGUUGGAGUCUGAUAACGGUGCUAAGAGGUGGUGCGGGUUGUGUUGAGGUAGCAUUUGUGGUGGGCACAAAGUGUUUCGGUGGCGUCCACGUUUUGUGUGUGUGUGUGUGGUCAUUGCAAAAAGGCUAAGUAAAAAACCUACUGGCAGUGAGUAGAACGGCAGAUAGAACAUAAAAAACGAAAGUACGCAAAGAGCCAAGCGGCAAGCGGCACGCUGAAAAGUUAGCUAAUAGCGAAAAACGAAAAACGCUAUAAUUUCGUUGAAACGUGACAUUUGUGAAGGCAAAUAAACGCAGAGCGGUGGGAAACGUACCAUCCUGCGCCCGCGCGUCGCAACUAAAACGUCGUCAUGCCGCGCGCAAUCGCCCGAAUUCAAUUAAGUGUCUAUGCUUUUCAAGCGCUUUGUUUUUCCAAUAUUCACUGUGUUUUAAAUUUUAGCAAUUUUUUGCAUUACCUUUCCUCCGAAUUUCACAUUUAGCGCAAAGGCUUGGAAAUAAAUAAAAUUCAAUUCAAAUAAAUUUAAUGAAAAGCAUAUACUUACUGUAUGUAGGAAGCUGAAAUUCGCAAGCCACUAUAGUUGAGUCAAUUAAGUGUUCGCCGAAAAUGGGCAUGAUGACUGUUAACAACAACAACAACAAUAAUAAUAACGAUAGUGAAAUUAAUAGUAAUAGGAGUGGCGCGACCGUUAUGACAACAACGCCCGAACGCAGCACCGCUGUUUCAGCAGAGACCCCACCAGCGCCCGUUCACCCGGCUCAAAGUGUCAGCGAGGAGGCGUUGCCAGCCGGCAUGGCGGCUGGAGAUGUUUCGUACAAGCAAAGCGCUAGUGAUUGGUAUGACGCUGAUGGCGAUGUCACUGCCAUUGCGGCUGUUGCUGCGGAGUGUGAGCGGUUGCUCGCAGCUGCAGCAGCUGACGUAGACACUGACGUUGGGAAAGUGAAUACUGCCGAAAGCGUUGCAACUGCCAACGCCUGCAAUAACGCAACGUACAACAACAAUGACGCGCAGUGCAUGUGCGAAACAGUUGAGGGUGUCAUUUUUGAUGACAAUGACACUGACUAUACUGACUAUGACUUCGAUACCGCCGAUGCAGAGGUAUUGAAUAGCAACGAGGAAAUGCCUCGUUCGCAACUCGACUACACCACUUCAUUUGCCUCAUACGAUAGUCAUGUGCAUCAGUUGAGUCGCAGCCAUCGGUGUAAUUCGCACGCAACAUUUAGGCUGCUGCGACAACAGCGUCAACAACAACAGCAGAAAUUGCAACCGCGCUACAGCACCCAGCAUAAUUCGAGCUCUUUGAAGCUGAGCGCCUCCAAUGCGUCUAUUUAUUCGUCAACCACCUCUACCUGUCCUGCGUACAGUAUCGGUGAACCGUUGUAUCAAUCUGUUGCAUUCACGGACUAUGCCACUACGGGAGGUUGCACCAUAGAGACGCUCACCACGGGUGAGUCAGCGGAUGAAAGUGUGUUGCGGUAUUCCUUUAAAGGCUAUCCGCCUGAGUUGUAUUCACCGCGCAAGGAGUUCAUCUACACGCGUCCACUGGUCGAGAAACAGCUUGUAAUUAAAAAGACUUGCGAGUGGUGGUUUUACAAAAAUAAAUGCCGCAAUAUGUCCACACAUUGGAAGCAGAAUGCAUUUCUCAUAUGCUGCGUAAUACUUUUCGGCCUUUUGCUAGGCUUAAUCAUUUGGUGCCAGCCGGGCAGCAGUGGCAGCAGUAGUCGGAAAGGUGCUCACAUAACCGCAGGUGUUUCAAACAAAUCAAAUACGUGGACGAGUAGUAGAGGAUAUCCACCCGUUGUGGACUCGCCAGACAUCCAAACGAUAUUUAUAAAUCAUUCAUUUAUUGGCGACGAGCAGUGGACAGAAGAUGAGGAUAUUAAAGACGACAUUGGCGAUAUAAACAACAGCAUUCCGGACGAUUUCACCAGUGACUUUGUGACGCUAAGAAAGGUGUACAAUUCCAAACUAAGCGAAGAUGAUAUGCUCUACGAGUCAAAUCGUAAUAAAAGCAGUGUAACGAAUGGUUAUUAUUCAGCAUUCGAUGAAACGGGUACAUUUCGUAGUAAAUCUAGUCAAAUUUGGGAUCCACAUCCCGAAUACAUAAUAAAUGCUUUCGGGCAUGAAUUGCAUUUGGUUUUAUAUCAGGACACAUCAUUCAUACCACCGCAAACAUUUAGUGUAAUUCGUAUACUUAACAAUAGAACCGAGGAAGAAGAAGAGGAAGAUGAAACAAAUGGCCAUUACUUGGGUUGCUACUACAAGGGCGUAGUCCAAGGUGAUGACCAAUCAACGGUGUCCGUAUCGCUCUGCAAUGGCAUGACUGGUUACAUUAAAACAAGUUUCGGCUCGCUGCUCAUACAACCGGUCAAUCAGACUGGUGAUGGUGAUUCGGAGGUGUUGCACAAAGUGUGGCGUCAUUCGCGUCGUAAUGCCAGACACGCUGUCGCCGAUUCAUUCGACAUGGAUUUGAAAGAACUCGAAGAGCGUCUAUUCACGAGGUUGCAUCGUAAGAAGCGCAACUAUGUUGAUCGUCAUGUCUUCACGAUGGAAGUGUUGGUGGCGGUUGAUAAGACGAUGAGUGAGUUUCAUGGCAGCGAUCUCAAGUCAUAUAUAUUGACAUUGAUAUCGAUUGUUUCGAACAUAUACGCGGAUGCUAGCAUUGGCAACUCCAUUUAUAUAACCGUGGCGAAUAUAUUGAUUUUACGCGACGAUCGCCGGAAAGCCACGUCGGCAUCUGCUAUGCUAAAGGACUUUUGUGGCGUCGUUUCAAAGCAAGGAUACCAUUACGACACAGCAAUGCUCAUAACACGUGAUCAAAUUUGCCGCAACGAAGGGGAGCCUUGCGACACUUUGGGUUUGGCUGAACUGGGCACUGUCUGCAAGCGACGAUCGUGUGCCAUAGUACAAGAUAAUGGACUGCCAGCCGCAUUCACAAUUGCUCACGAAUUAGGUCACGUCCUAAACAUGCCACACGAUGAUGACGACCUCUGUAAACCAUUCAACCGACCAGGUACGAAGAGUAAAAUGCAUAUAAUGUCGAGUAUAAUGGGCAGCGACAUCCAUCCGUGGUCGUGGUCGGACUGUUCGCGUAAUUAUGUCUCCGAAUUUUUGGAAAAAGAAGACAAAUCGUGUCUCGAAGAUACACCCACUUAUUUCAUAAAGAAUUUCAAUACCAAAUUGCCCGGCGAGAUUUACUCACUCAAUCACCAAUGCCAACUAAUACACGGCAACCAGUCGCGCUACUGCCGCAUCGACAGCGAAUGUAAGCGACUAUGGUGCAAGACGGACAGCAGCAGCAGUGACUGUCGCAGCAGCAAUCUACCGUGGGCCGAUGGCACACCAUGCAACAACGAACGUCACUGGUGUCAGAAAGGUGAGUGCGUACCGCGUGAGGGCAAAUCGUUGCAAGUGGUGCAAGGGGGUUGGGGUCCCUGGAGUGAAUUUACACCCUGUAGUCUUACUUGUGGUGGCGGCGUGCAGGAAUCACAGCGUGAAUGCAAUAAUCCACUGCCGAAGAACGGUGGCAAGUACUGUGCAGGCAGCCGAAAGAAAUAUCGUUCUUGCAACACACACACAUGUCCGCCCGGUACAUUAGAUUCACGUGAGCAGCAGUGCUACGAAAUGAAUGGGCGGAAUUUCUCUAGCAAAGGCAUUGCCCGCUCGGCGAAAUGGAUACCGAAGUAUGGACUGUCCUCGGCCGAGAAAUGCAAACUGUUUUGCCGCCUGGAAGAUAACAGCGCGUACUUUAAACUCGCGGACAAGGUGAAAGACGGCACCACAUGCUCGUUGGACAGCUUCGACAAGUGUGUCAAUGGCAUUUGCAGGCCGGCAGGUUGUGACAAUGAAUUGAAUUCGCUGGCGAAAAUAGAUAGAUGUGGCGUUUGUGAGGGUCACAACGAAACCUGUCAGGAGUACACCGGCAACUUCUACGUCUCCGAUUUGUUUAAGACCAAGUCUGAGUUAUACUAUUAUUAUGUGACAACCAUACCAAAAGGCGCCUCUAACAUUGUCAUUACUCAACCCGGCUAUCACGCUGAGAAUUACAUUGCACUGCGCGACGAUGAGGGCAAUUACAUACUCAAUGGCAAGAAUGUCAUCACCAGCUUUCGUAAUAUAAAAUUCUAUGCAGGCGUAACCUUUGAAUACAAUGGCGCCGAAAAUAUAGUCGAGCGUGUAAACACUACCGUGGCACGUAAAAUGAAACGUGAUUUGGUUGUAGAGAUAAUUUCCUUAAGCAAAAGUGCACCGAAGGACAACGACUCAUUGUUACUCAGCUACACGUAUACUAUGGAUAAGCCGCUCUAUCAAUUGCCCGAGGUAGAAGUUGAGAUCUAUAAUUGGGAAAUGCAACCCUGGAGUAAUUGUGAUGCACUAUGUCAUGGCAGCUCACACCGUUUGCCAGUUUGUGUGAGUACCACGAAAGCAUUAAAAGUGGCGCCACAAUUAUGCGAUGAGACGGCUAAGCCGCCAACUGACUAUCGCGAAUGCAACACGGAUUGUGUGCUCUCGCUGAAUGUAGCAAACAUUUCGGAAUGCUCAGCUUCGUGUGGCAUGUUGGGCACGCGUGAGAAAACUUACUACUGCAUACAAACAUUCCCACAUAUCAGCCGCUCCAAUAUCGUGGACUUAUCCUAUUGUCUGUCGAAGUUCGAGUUUAGUCCACACGAGUCGUGUCGUGAAGGCUGUUGGGACUAUACCGAGUGGACGCCGUGCUCCAAAUCUUGCGGUACUGGCACGCAGACGCGUGGUGUGAGUUGCAUGCUAAAUGGCACGCGCGUGAGUGAUACUUUCUGUAAUCAGCGUAAGCGAGACUCUUUCCGCGAUACAAUAAGAGCUUGUAAAACGGAGCCGUGUUAUUCAUAUGAAGACAAUUUGGUUACUCAACGUUCAUAUGCUAGUUAUUGGUUCGCCGAUGAGUGGGGUGCAUGUGAUGAUAAUUGUGAAAAGAAUCGUACAGUUACAUGUCGAAAUCCGAUGGGUUAUGGCUGUCCGAAAGAUCGUCGCCCCUUAUCGAAGCGUAAAUGUUGCAACAUCAAAUAUGUGUCCAAUUGGUCGAAUUGCUCCGUUGAAUGUGGUAAUGGCGUGCGCCAGAAAGAGAUUCAUUGCGCACGUGUAUAUAAACCAGAGAUUAAGGGAACGCCCCGACGACGUGUCAUUAUUGAUCCAUACCACUGUCGUCAUUUGCGCAAACCAACGCCGAAGCGUAUGCACAAGCCCUGUAAGAUCAGCUGCAAAUGGAACACUUCCGACUGGACACAGUGUCCCGCCGACUGUCAUGAAGAAUAUCAAUCACGUUCAGUUUAUUGUGAGUCAGUUUUGGGCAAUCCGAUUGCCUAUCGCUACUGUGAUGCGAUGAAGAAGCCACCAUCGAAGAAGAUCUGCAACAAUUGUGUGCGAAAGGAAUCGAAAAUUAUAACUCCUUGCAAUUGCGAUGGCUUCCGACGUCGUCGGAUCAUUUGCUACGAUUCGACGGGCCGACGCAUUGUCUGUCCCACAAAAGAGAGAUUGAUUAAGGAAAAAUGCCCCCCUCCACGUGAAUGUAUGCCACAAUCUUGUGAGGACGUGCGUCGCCUACUUCGCAACUAUCAGGACGAUGAAUAUACCAUAUAUGUGCGUUCACGCGCACGCAGAGUCUACUGCCAUAACAUGAGUAGCUCACCGAAAGAAUAUAUAACUGUUAAUCAUCUUGAAAACUAUUCCAUUUACUAUGAUUAUAAAACGUCCGAUCCGGACAGAUGUCCGCCCGAGUCGAGAAAUCGAGAGUUCCGUGAUAACAGCACCAGUUCGGGACGUACGCAUUUCCGUAAGAUACGUAUAAAUCUGCCAGACUUACGUAUAAUCGAAAAUGAUUUUACGUUUGCGGAAACAGUUGGCACUCCCCAAUUGUUUGGUUCCGCGGGCGAUUGUUACAAUCGUAACAAGGAAUGUCCACAAGGCGAUUUUUCGAUAAACUUGGAAAAAACCGGUUUCCACAUUCGAGCUGGCGCGCGUUGGGACACUUUCGGUCACAGUGUAAUUAUGAAGGUAUCUAAACCGUUCGACACCGCUACCGUUUCACGUCGCGCUUUCUGUGGUGGCUAUUGUGGACGUUGUCAACUUUCGCAUGCGGGGCUGUACCUAGAUGUAUGAUCACACAUCGGUUGAAACAACCUUAGUGUGGAUAUAACUUUUUGUUGGGUAAAAUGCUCACAAAACCUAGUUAGUGGUCUUGACACCACCAAUUUUGUGGGCGUGGCAUCGGUAGAUAUGGUCGCUGGCGUGACGUGAGCAUGCAGACUGACAAUGGAUAAGCAAAAUUUUAUGUGCCAUACAAUGACUCGACGAUGUCAUUGCCCACCCAUAAGCCAACACAAACCAAGCAGCGACUACUACGGCGAAGGCAAUAGACCAAAAUUAUAUAGAAACACAGAAGAAAUAAACACUAAGUACUUUUAAUAUUGUUGAAGUGAACGAACACCAAGUCGACAGAGAAACAACGAAAUCAACUACUGCUAGCGAAUUGUUAGACGUUUAAGGACAAGAGCAUAACACAAAGCGCUCAAAAUGGCUGGUAUCAGCCGAUAUUGUAAACUGCCAGCAACAAAUACACACAAAAACUAACAAUACAAACGAUCACUGAAAAAUUUAUUCUAAAAAGAACCAAAAACUCGUUGCAAUUCGCAAAUCAAAAUAUUCAACAAAAAAAAUUAAAAAUAACACACAAAAUAUUGAGCUUAAGUUAAGUGCAAAGUUGAAUUUGCUCAGCUUUUACCAAGUGUGGUAUACAAGUAUACCAAUACGAGCAUAAAAUAUGUGUAUGCAGUAUUGUUCAUUCGCACAAAAACUUAUUGGAAAAAAUGUUAUCCGUAUGGAAAAAGUAUUAAUUAACAAAAUGAAAUAUAGCAACAAAUUUUAAAAUAAAAUAUUUUACUGUAUUCGUAGAUAUGUAUGUAGUAUAUUGUGUCGAAAAUUCGAAAAUAUUAAGAAUUUACUAUUUCCAUUAAUUGUAUCCCUAUGUUGAAAAUUGAAACGAAUGUAUGUUUAAAUGUUAGGCAAAUAUCUAUGUAUGUAAAUACCAUACAUUAAUAUAACAUACAAUAGCUUUAUAACGGUGAGUGAACCCAAAAGAAAAAGUAUUUAUUUUGAAAAGAAAAAAGUUGUGUUAAGUAAAGGGCGUCGCUGACUUUUACAAGUUUCAAAGACGCAAUGUGUGAGUCGUUUUCAGAAUGCUUUACAAAAGCCGAUUUACUUUUAUAAAAACAUUGAACUCACACAUUGAAGCAAAAAAGCAAAAAUGCAAUCAAAUCAUAUAACGAAUUGCACGGUAUAUUAAUGAAAUUAGUAAGAAGUGUUUUUUUUUUGCAAAAUUACGUAAAAAUUUAUUUUUAAAACAACCUCCAAAGUAAAAUUUUAACAAAACUUAAAGCAAACCUUAAUGAAAUCAAAUUUGCAUGAGCAAACCAAAUCAAAUAACUAAGAAUUUGCAACCAAGUCACUCAAAAAAAAAAUUUUUUUUUUUAAAUUAGUUGUAAUAAUUAUGUGUGUUUAGAUAUAUGUUGAUGAACAUCAACACAAUGAGCCAUAUAUUUCAGAAAUCAUUUGCAUUUAGUUGCUGCUUGCGUUAGAGGUGAGAAACGUCUAGUCUCAUAAAAAACAACCACAAAAAAGUUUUUGAUUAUUACGCACAUAUUUUACGUUGUUAUGAUAAUAUAGUAAUUUUUUAAAUUAAAAAAAAAUAAACACAUGCAUUUUUCACAGCCGCGACUAUCUCUCUUUUCAAAAAAUAUUUGUAUUUUUCUACUAGUUUUUUGUUUUAUUAAAACCAAAAUAGCAUGCUCGAUUUCCAUUUAAUUAUGACUUUAGAUUGGUUUGUUUCCUUUUUCAAACACCUCCCAAGCAGUUGCUUUAAAAUUAAAACAUUUGACUCGAAUUUAAAUGUAGUUUAGUACUAAGUCACAACUAUGGCAAUAUAAGUUUUUACUGUAAUUUAAAAAUUUAAUUAAUUACGUAAAAAUGGUGCUUAUAAUUAUACAAAUGUUUUACUUCCAAAAACACAAAAAAAAAACACAUUAAAUAGAUCAUAGAGUAUAUAUACUUAUGUACAAACGCUAUUUUCUGUGAAAGUAGACGUGCGUACGAAAUGAUAAGGGCCAGUAUAUGCAAAGAGAGUAUGUGCUACUUGCGCACAUUAACUUAUAUACUAUACUGCCAUGCAUUGUACACUUAUGUAUAAAUAUUUAGAAAAGCAAAAAUACUAUUUACACGCAUACUUUUUGGCAUUUCUAGAAUUAAACUUUCUAAAUAUUCUCAACAAGUGCCCAUUCAUACCAAACUCUCAUGAAUUAAUAAAUAACUUUCGUAAAUGUAUUUUAGAAAUAAACAAAAAUACUCAUAAAUAUUAAAAGUAAUGCCAGCUAUGUAUGAGAAGAGAAUACAAUUUUAAUGGGCCAUACAAAAACAAAAAGAAUCAUAUAAAAAAUAUUGACUGAAAUUGUUUACAUUGAACACAUUUCACAUUUGAUUAAUCAUUUUUAAAUUUGACUUUUUCUGUGUCGCCAAACCCAUUGAUCGCAGGUUCGAUACAAUGACUCUAGUUAUUCAAAGGUCAGCAACAGCAAGUAUGCUAAUUAGAGAUCGCGGAAGUAGUGUCUAGCGACGCCUGUGGCGUGCUAAGAAAGCAAUUGCAAAAAUGUGAAAAUAUUGAAAAUAAGUCUAAUUGUUACAAUUAAGUAUUUUUAUGAAAAUAAAAUUUUGUUUUCAAAUAAAUACUAAAAAUAUUUAACAGCAAUUGGAAGUAACUUAAAUAUAUUUCUCUGAAUCAUAAAUGCAAUUAUUAAGCGAAUAAAACAAAAUAUUAAUUUAUAGUGCAACCUUCAGCCAUAUAACGGUGCGCUUUCAUUUAUUUGUUACACCUGCACUCACUGCCAGCUACACGCACGAACUCAACAAACAUACAUACAAAUCGUCAUUUCACUCUUUGUGCCAAGCAAGUCUUUACAACUUGCCAAUUAUCCUUAAAACCAUAAAACAUCCCUAAACAACUAGGCAGUGUUGCCAAUAAAUGAAUGGCGCAUCAUAUAUAUGAUAAAUAUAUAUAAUAUAUAAAUAUAAAUAUGGUAUAUACAUUUGCUUUAAUAUUAAUAUUAUGUGUGUAUGUAUUUGUGUAAAUAAUUGUACGUUUUAUGUAAAACUUAAAGUUUAGAAAUAAAUAAAUAUACACUGAAAUAACAUUGAAAAGAAAAUGAAAGCACUAAA
Bactrocera oleae (olive fruit fly) is the source of this 12142-nucleotide non-coding RNA. The record is from RefSeq and is a predicted model, not a curated record. NCBI's taxonomy places the organism in Eukaryota, Metazoa, Arthropoda, Insecta, Diptera, Tephritidae.